Molecule: ribosomal RNA, 396 nt
Filed under: uncultured bacterium
Lineage: Bacteria
Description: partial 16S ribosomal RNA
Rfam family: Bacterial small subunit ribosomal RNA
Source: RNAcentral
AUACGUAGGGGGCGAGCGUUAUCCGGAUUCACUGGGUGUAAAGGGAGCGUAGACGGAAAGACAAGCCAGAUGUGAAAAUCCGGGGCUCAACCCCGGACCUGCAUUUGGAACUGUUUAUCUGGAGUACCGGGUGGGCAGGCGGAAUUCCUGGUGUAGCGGUGAAAUGCGUAGAUAUCAGGAGGAACACCGGUGGCGAAGGCGGCCGGCUGGACGGAUACGGACGUUGAGGCUCGAAAGCGUGGGGAGCAAACAGGAUUAGAUACCCUGGUAGUCCACGUCGUAAACGAUGAAUACUAGGUGUCAGGCCCCAGAGGGGUGUGGUGCCGAAGCGAACGCAUUAAGUAUUCCACCUGGGGAGUACGUCCGCAAGAAUGAAACUCAAAUGAAUUGACGGGG